UUCACCAAUAUAAUUAAGUUACCACAAAGGCUAGAAACUACCACAGUCUGCAGCAACAUAAAGUUACCUUACAAUAAUACAUAUAUAGUAUACAUCAUCAUCCACUAAUAAUAUUUAUAACAAGUGCAAAAUAAAUCAUAAAAAAACAACUGGGUAGAUAUUAUUUUAUUUUUUGACGCAACGUUUACUGCAUCUUUGGAAAUCGCAUUAUAUCACAGCCACAAAGGUGCUGAAGAUUGCAAUAUACAAUACGCGGAGGGGUACACAAAAACUCUCGACAAUCCUCAUCCUUUUUGCAGCUCAUAGUAUCAACUGUGAUAUAUCAAAUAAACAUUGAAAAAAUGUUAUCAACAAUUUUUAAUAAUUCCUUUCAAAAAGAGGAGCAUUAAGGAAAGUUAUCAACAAUUUUUAAUAAUUCCUUUAAGAAUAAAUUUAACACGUUAAGUAAGUUUGUAAUUACUGUUGGAACAUGAUGAAGAAUUUGGAGGGAACUUGGUAUUGAAAUAAACACAAGUUCAAGAACCAUGUGUAGUGUGAAUUGAAAAAAGACUCUUUGAGUCCCACAUUGGAAAAAUCACACUACUUGGUAGUNNNNNNNNNNNNNNNNNNNNNGCGCGCGCGCCGCCGCCGUCCGUCCGGCCGGCUCGGUUCGGGCCGGGCGUGGGCUUGGGUGAUAUAUUAAUUUUUUAAUACUAAGAAAAAAGAAAUUUUUGAAUUUAAAUUUCUUUUAUGUGUGUCCCUUAAUUCGCACAUGUUAAAUGUGCUUAGAGCAAGUCUGAACAGAUUUUUAUCUGUUAAAACGGUCAAAAAUACGUGUCCCUUAAAGUCCCUGAUUUUUUGCCACGUUUUUUCCUUUGACUGAGCAACUUCAGCUCCUAAAAACCGUCUGAUUCCAGCUCCCUACUUGCCUAUAAAUACCACUUAAUUUCUUCAGUUUUAAUUCACUUCUUUUUCUCUGCAUUAUGAGAAAACAGCUUCUUUCCUUCUCCUUUUUUCUUUCUUUGAAAUUAUUUUGUUGUUUCAAAAUUUUGAACGGUUGUAAACCGUAGAAUUGAUAUUCGUAUAUCAAUAGAGUGGUUCGAUAUUUCGUACCAUAUUUGAUGUUAUUCUGGCCGAUACUACAGUGCAGUAGUUUAUCGGUAUUUCUCUGAAAAACGGCUGUUUUAUUCUGGGGACUUCGCGGUUGAUAUACUACAGUGCACUUCUUCGAGUUGUUCCGCGAAACGUCUUAAAGAAAGCGACCUAGUACGCGACUCAGCCAAUAAUAGUUUCGUUGCCAUUUUUGAAAAAAAUCGUUUUCUGCUUUUUAAACUCAGUAAACCGUUUUACAACAAUUACUAAUUCUUAAAAAGAUUUAGUAAAAAAAAAAAAGUUUGUAAUCCUCGUAAAUAUUUCAAAAUUUGUUUUUAGUUCUUGUAAAGAUUUUCUUUUAGUUUCUCAAAUAUUUUUCUGUGAUAACAUUUGGUCUCUAUUAUAUUGGUUUAUAAUAUUAUAAGAAUUUUAUCUAUAAAUUUAUUUUAAUAUAAGAUGAAUUAAAUAUGAAUUUUAAAGGGCCAAAAAUAUUUAAUUUUAUAUUUAAUUCAUCUUUUGCUAAAAAAAAUUAAAUGUUGUAAAUAUAUUUUUAUAAAGGAUCGGACUAAACAUGAAAGCAAAAAAAAUUUAAAAUUUCUAAUAAUAUACACGAGUCGAUUUAAAAGCAGAGACCAAAUAUCGUGACAAAAAAUACUUUUUUUUUGUUUAUAACCCUCUGGUUCCUAGGGGAAAAAGGACCCUAAUAGUCCAGAGUUCGGCCGCGAGGUAAGUAAAGCGUGACCAAUAAAUUUUUCCACCCAGGAAUCGAACCCGAGUUCUCUCGAAAUCCGUCAUUUUUGGUGAAGCCCGUUAACCACUUGAGCCCAAUUACUUAAUUUGACAAGAAAUAUUUGAUUAUCAAUACUUAUUAAUAUUUUAUUUACAAAAUAAAAAUAAAAUUUUAGAUAUAUGGAUAAAAACUUAUUUAACCCUAUAAAUUAGUAUAAAAAUAUAACAUGAUAUAAUAAAUUUAAAAUAGAUACUACCGGUACCCAACAAGACUCUUAGGUACCGGUGUUCACCAAAUUUAAAGCAUUGAUAAAAAUUACUUACCGCCGUUUGUUAUAGAAAUAAAUAGGGAAAAAUAGAUAAUCAUAGCACAAAUAAAUAUCUUAACUUUAGCCAUAUUUUUUCUUUUAUGAAUCUACAAUUAGAAAUGUUUG
This 2234-nucleotide long non-coding RNA is filed under the name Trifolium pratense (red clover). Its description in RNAcentral is "long non-coding RNA (TPRA_LNC012220)". The record is from RNAcentral. Lineage: Eukaryota; Viridiplantae; Streptophyta; Magnoliopsida; Fabales; Fabaceae.